GUGGGCUCGGAGACAUUAACGAGUUUUAAGUGGGCUUGAUGCUGGCUUUACCAAAAGCAUGUGCUCAGCCUCGCUCUAAUCCACUCAACCCCUGUGCACUAUUCGGAGUGUUGCAAGCUGAGACUUGAAUAGGUCUUGGUCGCGUUUCUAAUGCGGCUGGGUUCUAAGACAGUCAAGGCUUGUCCUCCGGUCUAUAUACAAACUCUUAUAAUGUCUUGUAGAAUGUGUUAGCCUCUCGUUAGGCGAAACUUAAAUACAACUUUCAACAACGGAUCUCUUGGCUCUCGCAUCGAUGAAGAACGCAGCGAAAUGCGAUAAGUAAUGUGAAUUGCAGAAUUCAGUGAAUCAUCGAAUCUUUGAACGCACCUUGCGCUCCUUGGUAUUCCGAGGAGCAUGCCUGUUUGAGUGUCAUGUUAAUAUCAACCCCGUCGGUUUGUAAAUCAGACCGUUGGGUGUUGGACUUGGAGGUUCUUGCUGGCUGCAAAGUCGGCUCCUCUUGAAUGCAUUAGCUUGGGCCUGUUGUGCGUGCUCGCGGUGUAAUAAGUUUUAUUCAUCGUUUGGGUCGUACACUUAUUGGGCUUGCUUCUAACUGUCUUCGGACAAAUAUAACCUUUGACUCUGACCUCAAAUCAGGUAGGACUACCCGCUGAACUUAAGCAUAUCAAAAAGCGGGAGGAAACGGG
The sequence is a ribosomal RNA, 683 nucleotides long. The stretch from base 258 to 411 matches the Rfam family "5.8S ribosomal RNA".